GUCCACCCUUUCCCAAGGUCACCAGUAAGCGUUUUAUAUGUAGAUUCCCAUCAACAAACAAUCACCAAUUAUCUACUAACAUCUCCUUUUAUAUUCGUAGAUUAAUCAAACGACAUUUAAGUAAAUAACACAUUUUUUUAUACCUUAACAACUAAGAAACAUAAUUAAGGUUUUUAUUUCAAAUCAAUCAAUCAGAUAAAAAUCAUAAUCAGGUCAUU
This 218-nucleotide long non-coding RNA is filed under the name Carica papaya (papaya). Its description in RNAcentral is "long non-coding RNA (CPAP_LNC001912)". The record is from RNAcentral. Lineage: Eukaryota; Viridiplantae; Streptophyta; Magnoliopsida; Brassicales; Caricaceae.